Molecule: ribosomal RNA, 2922 nt
Filed under: Steroidobacter denitrificans
Lineage: Bacteria; Pseudomonadati; Pseudomonadota; Gammaproteobacteria; Steroidobacterales; Steroidobacteraceae
Description: bacterial LSU rRNA
Rfam family: Bacterial large subunit ribosomal RNA
Source: RNAcentral
GUUAUAUGGUCAAGUGAAUAAGCGUAUGUGGUGGAUGCCUAGGCGAUAGAAGGCGAUGAAGGACGUGGUAGCCUGCGAAAUGCUUCGGGGAGCUGGCAAACAAGCUUUGAUCCGGAGAUGUCCGAAUGGGGAAACCCACUGCUUCGGCAGUACCUGUAUCUGAAUACAUAGGGUAUAGGAGCGAACCCGGGGAAUUGAAACAUCUCAGUACCCGGAGGAAAAGAAAUCAACCGAGAUUCCGUCAGUAGUGGCGAGCGAAAGCGGAACAGCCCAGUUGGAACCAGUCGAUGGAGCUUAGUGGAACGGUCUGGAAAGUCCGGCCAUAGCGGGUGAUAGCCCCGUACACGAAAGGUGAAGUCGAUGACCAACGAAGAGUAGGGCGGGACACGUGUAAUCCUGUCUGAACAUGGGGGGACCAUCCUCCAAGGCUAAAUACUCUCUAUCGACCGAUAGUGAACCAGUACCGUGAGGGAAAGGCGAAAAGAACCCCGGUGAGGGGAGUGAAAUAGAACCUGAAACCGCAUACGUACAAGCAGUCAGAGCCUCGUAAGGGGUGAUGGCGUACCUUUUGUAUAAUGGGUCAGCGAGUUAUUUUCAGUGGCGAGGCUAACCGAAUAGGGGAGCCGUAGGGAAACCGAGUCCGAAUAGGGCGCUUCAGUCGCUGGGAAUAGACCCGAAGCCGGUCGAUCUAUCCAUGUCCAGGGUGAAGGUAGGGUAAUACCUACUGGAGGCCCGAACGAACCACUGUUGCAAUAGUGUGUCGAUGAGGUGUGGAUAGGAGUGAAAGGCUAAUCAAGGCCGGCGAUAGCUGGUUCUCCCCGAAAGCUAUUUAGGUAGUGCCUCAUCGAGCACUCCUGGGGGUAGAGCACUGUUUAGGCUAGCGGGUCAUCCCGACUUAGCAAACCUAUGCAAACUCCGAAUACCAGGAAGUGAACCGGUGGGAGACACACGGCGGGUGCUAACGUCCGUCGUGAAGAGGGAAAUAACCCAGACCGCCAGCUAAGGCCCCCAAUUCAUGGCUAAGUGGUGAACGAUGUGGGAAGGCAUAGACAGCCAGGAGGUUGGCUUAGAAGCAGCCAUCCUUUAAAGAAAGCGUAAUAGCUCACUGGUCUAGUCGGCCCGCGCGGAAGAUUUAACGGGGCUCAAGCCAUGAGCCGAAGCUGCGGAUCUGCACGCAAGUGCAGGUGGUAGGGGAGCGUUCUGUACGCCUGCGAAGGUGCACUGUGAGGUGUGCUGGAGGUAUCAGAAGUGCGAAUGCUGACAUGAGUAACGUUAAUGCGGGUGAAAAACCCGCACGCCGAAAGCCCAAGGUUUCCUGCUCAACGUUAAUCGGAGCAGGGUGAGCCGGUUCCUAAGGUGAGACCGAAAGGUGUAAUCGAUGGAAAACAGGUCAACAUUCCUGUGCCCGGUGUGGCUGCGAUGGGGUGACGGAGAAGGCUAGGUCAGCAGGGAUUGGUUCCCUGUUUAAGCAGGUAGGGGGAGUUGCCAGGCAAAUCCGGCAGCUCAUUCAACCCCGAGACGCGAUGACGAGGUCCCACGUGGACCGAAGUGAUUGACGCCACGCUUCCAGGAAAAGCCUCUAAGCUUCAGGUCACAUCGGACCGUACCGUAAACCGACACUGGUGGGCGAGCAGACAAUCUGCCAAGGCGCUUGAGAGAACUCGGGUUAAGGAACUCUGCAAAUUGAUACCGUAACUUCGGAAGAAGGUAUGCCUUCGAUGGUGAGAGGACUUGCUCCUUUAGCUGUUGAAGGUCGCAGGUAAUCGGUGGCUGCGACUGUUUAUCAAAAACACAGGACUCUGCGAACACGUAAGUGGAAGUAUAGGGUCUGACGCCUGCCCGGUGCCGGAAGGUUAAUUGAUGGGGUCAGCCGCAAGGCGAAGCUCUUGAUCGAAGCCCCGGUAAACGGCGGCCGUAACUAUAACGGUCCUAAGGUAGCGAAAUUCCUUGUCGGGUAAGUUCCGACCUGCACGAAUGGCGUAACGCUGGCCACACUGUCUCAACCCGAGACUCAGUGAAGUUGAAAUCGCUGUGAAGAUGCGGCGUUCCCGCGGCAAGACGGAAAGACCCCGUGAACCUUCACUACAGCUUUACACUGAACUUUGAACCUUUUUGUGUAGGAUAGGUGGGAGGCUAUGAAAUUCGGACGCUAGUUCGGAUGGAGCCAACCUUGAAAUACCACCCUGAAAUGUUUGGAGUUCUAACCUAGGUCCGUCAUCCGGAUCGGGGACCGUGUAUGGUGGGUAGUUUGACUGGGGCGGUCUCCUCCCAAAGAGUAACGGAGGAGUGCAAAGGUACGCUCAGCGCGGUCGGUCAUCGCGCUCUAGAGUGCAAAGGCAUAAGCGUGCUUAACUGCGAGACGGACAGGUCGAGCAGGUACGAAAGUAGGUCUUAGUGAUCCGGUGGUUCUGUAUGGAAGGGCCAUCGCUCAACGGAUAAAAGGUACUCCGGGGAUAACAGGCUUAUUCCUCCCAAGAGUCCACAUCGACGGAGGAGUUUGGCACCUCGAUGUCGGCUCAUCACAUCCUGGGGCUGUAGCAGGUCCCAAGGGUAUGGCUGUUCGCCAUUUAAAGUGGUACGCGAGCUGGGUUCAGAACGUCGUGAGACAGUUCGGUCCCUAUCUGCCGUGGGCGUUGGAAACUUGAGGGUGAGCUGUCCUUAGUACGAGAGGACCGGGAUGGACGUAUCUCUGGUGUUCCGGUUGUCACGCCAGUGGCACUGCCGGGUAGCUAUAUACGGACGGGAUAACCGCUGAAAGCAUCUAAGCGGGAAGCCCCCCCCAAGAUUAGGUUUCCCUGGGAACUCGAUUCCCCUGAAGGGCUGUCGAAGACUACGACGUUGAUAGGCUGGGUGUGUAAGUGCAGUAAUGUAUUGAGCUAACCAGUACUAAUUGCCCGUGAGGCUUGACCAUAUAACACCCAA